ACUUGGAUAGCUUAUAUAGAGCAUGAUAUUGAAGAUAUCAAGGAAAUUGAAUUAUUUUCAGGUA
Molecule: transfer RNA, 64 nt
Filed under: Formicomus sp. FOR01
Lineage: Eukaryota; Metazoa; Arthropoda; Insecta; Coleoptera; Anthicidae
Description: tRNA-Phe
Source: RNAcentral